Molecule: ribosomal RNA, 734 nt
Filed under: uncultured Basidiomycota
Lineage: Eukaryota; Fungi; Basidiomycota
Description: SSU rRNA
Rfam family: Eukaryotic small subunit ribosomal RNA
Source: RNAcentral
AACGGCUACCACAUCCAAGGAAGGCAGCAGGCGCGCAAAUUACCCAAUCCCGACACGGGGAGGUAGUGACAAUAAAUAACAAUAUAGGGCUCUUUUGGGUCUUAUAAUUGGAAUGAGUACAAUUUAAAUCCCUUAACGAGGAACAAUUGGAGGGCAAGUCUGGUGCCAGCAGCCGCGGUAAUUCCAGCUCCAAUAGCGUAUAUUAAAGUUGUUGCAGUUAAAAAGCUCGUAGUUGAACUUCAGGCCUGGUCGGGCGGUCUGCCUCACGGUAUGUACUGUCUGACUGGGUCUUACCUCUUGGUGAGCCGGCAUGCCCUUUACUGGGUGUGUCGGGGAACCAGGACUUUUACUUUGAGAAAAUUAGAGUGUUCAAAGCAGGCCUAUGCCCGAAUACAUUAGCAUGGAAUAAUAAAAUAGGACGUGCGGUUCUAUUUUGUUGGUUUCUAGAGUCGCCGUAAUGAUUAAUAGGGAUAGUUGGGGGCAUUAGUAUUCAGUUGCUAGAGGUGAAAUUCUUGGAUUUACUGAAGACUAACUUCUGCGAAAGCAUUCGCCAAGGAUGUUUUCAUUAAUCAAGAACGAAGGUUAGGGGAUCGAAAACGAUCAGAUACCGUUGUAGUCUUAACAGUAAACUAUGCCGACUAGGGAUCGGGCGAUCUCACUUUUAUGUGUCGCUCGGCACCUUACGAGAAAUCAAAGCUUUGGGUUCUGGGGGGAGUAUGGUCGCAAGGCUGAAA